GGGGCGUGGCCCAAUCCAAUCGCCCACACUCCGCAACCCUCCCUCCCUCCUCAAUCUCUCUCCCUCAGCCGCCACAAACCCUAGGUCCUCCCCUUCUGCCCUGCUCUCCACCGCGCCGCCUCCUCCUCCCCUUCACCAUUCCCUCCAGCGGCAGGCACAGGGAGACAACGGCGGCGCUUGAUUUCAUCCGCCCCGCUCCCCUCCCUCUCCAUUGCGCCUCGGCCUCGGCCACCCCGUGCUCUGCCGGCGCCCGUCGGCCUCGAUCCAGCCUCAGCAGGAGGAGCUCGCCGUCGAGACACGAGGAGGGGAGCAGCAGGAUACAGGAGCAUGGCCUUCUUCUCGCGCUGCAGCCGCCGGCCUUGUCGUGCUCGAGGAGGAGGAGCAGCAGGAGGGGUGCACCCAGCCACCAAGGUAGCCGUCGUCGAGGGCUUCUUACACCUGAACCUCGACCUCCACGGCGCUGGCGUCCAGCCACUCGAGUUCAAGGGAAGGAGAGGAGGAUGACGCCCAGACAUGGAGAGGAACAGCAGUAGCUCAAGAAAAAUGAAGCAAGACAAGCUGGAGAAGCUCGCAUGGACAUCCAAUUUCAUGUACCACUCAACUGAACCGAGUUACUUGUGGAGACUAUAAGAAGAAUUUAUAGGAAGAGUUUGAUCAAGAAGAGCAAGGCUGACACCCGUAGUUGUUUGGCAUCAAAUUCAGAAGAUACACAUCAUAAGAUUGAAGCAAUGCUACCUGAACCAAAGGGUUGUACGCCCACCAUUAUUAAUAUUCCAUACUAUUCGUGUUCUUCAGAUCCCAAUAAUUUAUUUGGUCUUGCUUUUGACACAAAACACAAGUACAGGCAAAGAGAAGACGAGGUCGAACUCCAACACCGGAAGGUAUCUUGGCACCAAACCAUCAUGAGGAGAAGGGGAUGUGUUGCUGUACAUGAGAUAAGCAGCCCAGUUCAGAAGUGCUUUAUAGAGGUCCUGUAAGCUUUCUAGACAUACAUGUUGUUUCCAGUCUCUCUCGGCUUCCCCAAUCCUAGAGAUUAAAGGCGGCCAAGGCCAGGGAGGACGAGGUCAGGGAGUACAAGAGUGAUGUGCUGAACCCCUCCGCGGAGGAGUUCAUGCCGCUCUCCCGUCGCUAGGGGGACGGCGCAUGCCACCUAUCGGCCGACGCGCCCGUCUUCGUCUCGCCCGGGAUCGACUACUAUGCUCCUCCGUCCACCAACUCUGUCCGUGCAGGUGGCCUGUUUCCUUCCACCCCAACCUUCUCCACUGUCUCCCCAGCUGGUACAGGUGUGAUCUUCAUGGAGCUAGCCAUCAUUGGAUUUGGUAAUACAUAAUCACUUAAUCAGAGAGCCCAAGGUGAGAAGGGACGAGCAUCUAGAACACCACCACCUACUAAUCAGAGUUUCCUACCUUUCUUCUGCAAAUCUGGAAUGCCUUUAUGGCAUGAUCAUGCAAAAAAAGUACCUUGAUGCAAUAAUGGAUUUGAUUAUCAUUGGUUACUCUGUUUUCAUGAAUUACUAUCCAACUGUAAGUCUGUUCUAUACCCUAAGGCCGAUGUAAAUCUGAUAGAAGAUUAAGUUAUUUAAUUUUAACUAAAAAGGAUAAUUUUCUUUCAGUCGCUUGAACCUGUCCAGACCUGAAAAAUACUUAUACUUUGAAAGCUUGAUACAUGAGUAUGUAAUUUUACAGGUAUGUAGAUAGCCAACAAUGUUAUUGUUCAAAUGUACUCGAGCCAGGUUUUCGGUGUUUCAUUGGAACCAAAAGAAUUGCUAAUAUUGUUUUGAUGAAAACAUGGUCGCACUUGUCGGUGUUGUAGUGGCAUAGGAAUUUUUUUCCCUGAGAUCCACUAUGAAGUUGAUUGAAAGUCCAUUUCCCUAAGAUCCACUAUGACAAUGAAAAAGAUUUCUGAAAACUGUGUCACCAUAAAUGUUCCAUCAUUGUCCAUAGCAGUCCCGUGCCAUAUUAAUUUCAGAAGAAUAAAUUCUUAUUCAGAUGUUCAUUGUGUUUUUAUGUACUGCUAUAUCUAAAAAAGCAAGUUUCAGCUAAAACCAGAGUCGUGGUUAAGAUACUCUUCCCACCUAGGAUAUGUGUAUAUGUUCAGAUUGCUAACUUUAAACUAUAGUUGUAGAAAAUGUGGUGCCCUCGCUUAUUUUUCUAAUGCAUGAACUUAGGGUAAAUGUUUUAUGUGUAAUGCGUGCUUGAUUUCUUUUUGAUUCUAGUGGAUUUUGAUUUUCUCCACCAUGCUUCUCUCCAACGGGAUGAGUCUGUUUUUGCAGCAGCGGGUGAUGCAUGUGCUUAUUGUUGGCUGUUGCUAUGUGGUAUGCAUUUUCUCAUUGUUUGCUGUUUGUUGUUUGCUAUGAUUAAGAUACAUUGGCAUGUACAUUUUAUAUCAGUAUUGUUUUCAACACCACCUAUCACUGUAUAAUUUGCCGUUAAUAGAGUAGUUUCUCCUUUGUUGCAUUGCAUAAUGCUAGCAAGCUACAUUGCACCAUAAACAAAAAUAAUCCUCUUCCAAGGUUAAACCUGUGUUUUUCCUUCUAGUAAAGAUCUUCUCUGGAAAAGAUCAAUUCCGUUAGCCUAUAAUAUUGCAGUUCUUUCGUAUCCUUCAAAGAUUCAUAAAUAUUUUCUGUUUCCACUCCAUUCGUUCUCAUGGAUUUUGAAAAAAAUAUUUUUUUUGUUGAUUAAUAAUAUUGCUUUCCCUUUCAGUUUUGUGGUGGUCGAUGCAUGUAGAAUAUACAGACUUUCCUAGAAUGGCGCCUUUUAGUUUUUCUGCUUGAUGUUAGGUCAUUGAUGAGAACACCUACGUAUAUGAUUGAUGCAUUCAUGAUAUCCUAUAUACUGAGAAAUAUUUUUGUUUUCCGGACAUUAUUUUCUAAAUCAUAUCAACAUAUUACCUGAUAUGGUCUUUGAAGUUUCUAUUUUAUUGCGAGCUUUGCACUGGUCAACUUGAGUAUGGUAUGGUUAUCUUUUCUUUUGUUUACAGGCGAUGUGUGGUAGAAGCUGUACUCACUGGAAGACUAUCGUGCUGUGUAUAAACCAUGUUCUAUGAUUCACUUCUGUUAUGCAUAUUUACUUUCCAGUUUUAGGACUGAAAUCUAUCCAUUGUAAUGAAUUUGGUUGUAUGGGCAUUACCUAUUUGACUUCGGCUUGCUUCAUCACAUAUAGACUGCUUUUCUUUUCCCCAUUGCGUGUAUGACCUAAAACUAUCAUGUAUAUGAGGCAAGUUAUUAGCAAUGUUUCACA
Triticum dicoccoides is the source of this 3239-nucleotide long non-coding RNA. RefSeq lists it as uncharacterized. The record is from RefSeq and is a predicted model, not a curated record. The transcript is spliced from 9 exons. NCBI's taxonomy places the organism in Eukaryota, Viridiplantae, Streptophyta, Magnoliopsida, Poales, Poaceae.